Molecule: long non-coding RNA, 2280 nt
Filed under: Homo sapiens (human)
Lineage: Eukaryota; Metazoa; Chordata; Mammalia; Primates; Hominidae
Description: MANEA divergent transcript (MANEA-DT)
Source: RNAcentral
GGGGUCUUCCGGAGCCUCCGGUCGCGGGUCUAAGAGGACUAGGGCGGGAGCGGCGCGGAAGAAAGAGAGGACUGCGUUUUGGGGCGUUCUGUCAGAGGGGAAGGACGUGUGGAUUGGAGUCAGACUGCACUCCCGCCCUAUUUCUGCAAGUAGAACUCACUGCCUUUAGAAACGGUCUUCUGAGGCUCUGUUGGGAGGCUCUAACUGUAUUACAGAGGACACAUUUUUGUUUGUUUUUAUGUGAAACAUUCAGAAGUUGCUUGCAUCAAGUGCUUUACAAGUACACUGGUUUUCAAACUUUUAAAGUUGAGGAACUGUUUUGAUUUUUGUAAAAAUAGAACUUUACUUGGAAGCCCAAGGUAGGCAGAUGGAGAUGGCGUUUUUAAUUUGCGAAUGUAUUCUAUAAAAUCACAUCUGUACUGAAGUACUAGAAAUAAUUGAGGAUAAGUCAGAUGUGAAGAGCAAGAACUUUUGAAAUAGGAUUACAACUGAAGGUUUCCAUCUUACAUUAGCUUCAGAAAACAAGAAAAUGCUAUCUUUUGUUUGGUUACAUAGUAACAGGAAGUCCUUAUUCAAGCUAGAACUUGCUGAUGUGAACAGUUUCAUAAGGGCUCUCCUUAAAAAGAUUUUGUACACCAAUUUUAAUUGGGAAAUAUACAUAUGAGUAUAUCUCAUGUGCAUAUCUUAAAGAAGAAUGAAAAAUGCCCAGGUACCCACUACAGAGCUUAAGAAAAAAAAAAUGCCAGUAUUUUUGGAGUCUUCUAGAAAGAAGACUCUCUAAAAACAUCUCCUUCCUUCCGUUCACCAUUAUGCUGAAUUUUAUAUUACUCAUUCCGUUGUAUUUCUGAAAAUAGUUACAUAUGUACGAUUCCCUAAAAAUACUAUUUUCCUAGUUUUAUAUUUCAUAUGUGAAUCAUUCUUCAUUUUUCCCCUUUUUUCACUAAUUUAGGUUUUGAGAGGUUUUGAGAUUCGUCUGUAUACAAGUCCAUUUCCCAUAAACUAGACUGGCACAUCGUUACCCUUAUGCUAUUGUUAGACUUUUUAAGUUUUUGCUGAUAAGAGCAUCUGAUUGCUCUUUUAAUUUGCAUUUUCCCUUUUGCUAAAGCCUGUUCUUAAUUUUAUCUCAUUUUUUAUUAAAUUGCUUGCUUUUGAAAAUUAUUUUGUAGAUAAUAUUUAUUUUUUCUAGUUUAAUUCUCUCUUGUAAGUUACAUGUGUUGCAAAUGUCUUCUCUUAGUUUAUGGACUGUCUUUCCAGUUUUUAUGAUGUUUCUUGAUUGCCAAAAGCUUUAUGCUUCAGUAUACAGCUUUUUGAAUUUAAUAAUAUUUUACAUUUUAAUUUUGUGCUUUUUGCUUUCUUGCUUACAAGAUUCUUCCCAACAUAACAUCAGAAACUAUUCUUUCUUCUACAAGUUUAAAAGUUUAAUUGUAGCAACUUUAAACACAGAAAGGACAAAUAAUAAUAUAAUGAACACCCAUGCACUCAACUCUAUGUAUUAAAACAUUUUGCAAACCCCUCCUCCUAAUGAUUCUUGUCUAAAAUUGCCUUAACUAUACUUGGCUCUUUACUCUUUCAUUGAAAUUUUAGGAUGAGCCAGCCAAGAUCCAUUUAAAAAAUUGGAUUUCAAUUGGGCAUUUUAUUCAACUUGAGAAUUGCAUUUAGAGAUUUAGUGAAAUGUCUUCUUAUCUAUGAACAUGGUAUAUUUAUUUUAUUCAGGUACUUUAUGUGCUACUAUGCUUUGUAAUUUAUUGAGUAUCUUUCAUUAUAUUGCCUCCUAGUUUUAUUACUAAAAUUAGAGAUCUCUCUCUUUAAACUCUAUUUUCUAAUUGUUUAGUAACAUUGUAUUAAAAGAGCAUCAAUUUCAAUAUAUUGGUACUAUCUCCAGAAGCUUCGCUGAAUUUUUUUGAUUGCUUGCUUUAUUUCCCUGUUACAUCUUUGGAUGACCUAUAUAGGUAAUCAUAUCAUUUGUAAAUAAGAAUAAUGGUUUCCUUCUUUCUCUCUUUUCAAACCACUUAUUAUUCAGUUUUUUCUUUUAUUUAUUAACAGAGCAUCCAGUGCAAUGUUUAAUGGAAGUAAUAAUGGCAUUCUUGUCCCAUUCCUCACUUUACUGCAAUACUGCUAACAUUUUAUAAUGAUAACAAUGUUUGCUGUGGGUUUUUGGUAAAUACUUUAUCAAGAUUAUUAAGUGUUCUGUUUCCAGUUCAUAAUGUAUUGUUGUUUGCUUUUUUUUAACCAUGAGUGACAGUUUAAUUGAUUAAAUGCUUUUUCUGCACCUAUUGAGAU